Molecule: small nucleolar RNA, 286 nt
Organism: Hermetia illucens (black soldier fly)
Lineage: Eukaryota; Metazoa; Arthropoda; Insecta; Diptera; Stratiomyidae
Source: RefSeq, a predicted model, not a curated record
UCGCCGCGAAGGAGCUUAUUUUCUAAGACUCAACUCAGAGCGGGGAAGUUUCACCCGCUGUAAUCUUAGGGUUUGUCUUUCAGUUUGGGCUUGCCUUGUAAGGCCGGCGGGACAGGAAUUCGGCUGCAAUUAUCAGACUAUUGUUAUUGCUAAAGUUCAUAGAUUAACAAUUUAGUUAUUGCACAUAUGAAAAAUAUCUCAAUGAAACGUAAACGGGAGGCUCUGGGUAGAAAAUAGGUUCUGGUGAUUUGAUGACCUUUGAUGAAUCUUUAGUAAUCUGAUUGAC